UACAGAGGUCUCAAGCGUUGUUCGGAUUCAUUGGGCGUAAAGGGUGCGUAGGUGGCGCGCUAAGUCAGGUGUGAAAUUUCGGAGCUUAACUCCGAAACUGCAUUUGAUACUGGUGUGCUUGAGGACUGGAGAGGAGACUGGAAUUCAUGGUGUAGCAGUGAAAUGCGUAGAGAUCAUGAGGAAGACCAGUGGCGAAGGCGGGUCUCUGGACAGUUCCUGACGCUGAGGCACGAAGGCCAGGGGAGCAAACGGG
Molecule: ribosomal RNA, 253 nt
Filed under: uncultured bacterium
Lineage: Bacteria
Description: partial 16S ribosomal RNA
Rfam family: Bacterial small subunit ribosomal RNA
Source: RNAcentral